Molecule: unclassified non-coding RNA, 329 nt
Filed under: soil metagenome
Description: partial contains 5.8S ribosomal RNA, internal transcribed spacer 2, and large subunit ribosomal RNA
Rfam family: 5.8S ribosomal RNA (bases 1-120)
Source: RNAcentral
GAUGAAGAACGUAGCGAAAUGCGAUAAGUAAUGUGAAUUGCAGAAUUCAGUGAAUCAUCGAAUCUUUGAACGCACAUUGCGCCCCUUGGUAUUCCGAGGGGCAUGCCUGUUCGAGCGUCAUUAUAACCCCUCAAGCUCAGCUUGGUGUUGGGGCCUGCUGCACUGGCAGCCCUUAAGAUCAGUGGCGGCGCCAUCUGGCUCUAAGCGUAGUAAUUCUUCUCGCUAUGGAGUCCUGGUGGAUGCUUGCCAUCAACCCCCAAUUUUUCUAUGGUUGACCUCGGAUUAGGUAGGGAUACCCGCUGAACUUAAGCAUAUCAAUAAGCGGAGGA